Malurus melanocephalus (red-backed fairy wren) is the source of this 1964-nucleotide long non-coding RNA. RefSeq lists it as uncharacterized. The record is from RefSeq and is a predicted model, not a curated record. The transcript is spliced from 4 exons. NCBI's taxonomy places the organism in Eukaryota, Metazoa, Chordata, Aves, Passeriformes, Maluridae.
GGUUUGUUUUUUUUUUUAAUAAGUGGUUGAUUUAUUUAUUUGGAUGAGGUUAUUGUUCUUAAAACUAUUAAUCUGGAUAAAGUUUCAUUUGGUGAAUAUGUAGUUCUUUUCCUUAGUAAAACCUACAGGACAUAGAGAUCUGAAUUUCCUUAAGUUUUCUAAGCUAUGAAAAAUCUUCAUUCUUACACCGCUUAACUAUGGCAACAAAAAGUGAAAGAUGGAUAAAAAWCCAAAAGAUAAAUUGUCUACUAUACUGUGGAAAUCCAUGGCUUGGGAAAGAUACUAAAUGAMCAUGAGGAAAAUAYGUGYUUUUUAAUGKUGGCUGAUUUUUCAUGUGGCCUAGGCAUAACUACAUGGAGUUAUAGGGAAUGUAAAGAAUCUUUAGAUUCUGACAGUGAUGAUUUAGAAGACAAAGGUUGCAGAUCCAGUGGGAGUCAGGCAUAGUCAGCCUCACUACUUUUAUAACAACCUUGUUUAUUACUACAAAAUAGUUCAUUUUGAAGGGGUAGCUAGAUAGUAGGUAAAAUUAGGAAUACAAUUCUUCUAUAUUGUCAUCCUAUGUAUUUCAAGGAGAGCAUUGUAUGUGACCUCUGAUGUUGAAAUUUCUUUACACACCGUUAGUAGGAAUACAAAGUCUUUAAAAAAAUGGUAACUUAUGACAUGAAUUUAGCCGUUUUCCUAGAAAAGAAAAAUAGAAAAGAAACCUAAAUGCAUAAYCAUGUUAAUACAUGACUUCCUGUUCUGAAAACAGGAUCUGAAACAUCUGAAAACAGAAUUAAAUCUUUGCCAGUGUGGACWCUGUAUGAUACCUAGAUGGAAAUAUAAAACAUGAAUCCUUUUAGAGAAAAAGAAUGGUAAUUCAUAUGUAAUGCUCWGUAUUUUAACUCUCUGAUAAAGUCUGAGAUUUUAUAGGUUGCAAUUAUUAAGGUGAUUUAGGGAGCUGACAAAGUAGCAUAAAAUUAUCUUGSUCACAGAUGUGCUCUAAGAUCAGUGUCUUCUUACUAGUGCACAGAGAGCACAGCAUUAGCCUAAAUGCUAAUCUGGUAAAUAUACCUUAUUAUUCCUUAAAUGCUUUAAAUAUGUGAUAAAUACUGGAUACAGAACUGGAGAUGUACUUGUUUCAUUUUAAUGCUACAUCUAUCGAUUUGAAGGUUAAGCUACUUAACAGAAUGAUCUGAAUAUACUAUAUCUGGCCUUAUUCAUUUUGUCACUGCUUAACUUAUAGUUCAUUCUGUGUUUUGMUUGAUUUUAAGUAAAUUUUACCCUACCUGCUGUGUUAAAGCCUUAAGAUUGUCAGUGCCUCAUGAGAAAUCAGAAGUUUCUGUUUGUGCGCUUGUAGGCCUGCUUGAGGAUUCUCUUUAAUUAAGCCACGUAAAUGUGCUUUACCAUUCAAAAUCUGGCAUGAUGAAACCCUGGUCCUGCCUGGGCUGUGUUCAUACAAGCCUGAUACAGACACUGCUAGAAGGGUUCUGUUUGUUUGUUUGCUUGUUUGUUUUAUAGCAUAGGUGUUUUUGAGACUUAGAUGGUUUUUGUUCAGACGGAAUACUAAAAAAAGUGUGGAACAUCAGAGAGCAGAAGGAGCAGCAAGCUUCCUUACUUUGCGGGUUAUACUGACCUGUGAGGCUUUCAGUCAGCCAGUUGCUUAAAUGUCAGUGGUAUCUGCGGCAUAAUUCCACUGCUAAGACAUUUGUCUCAGGAAUGUCUGACAAAUGAAGACUUACCAUUCUUUUAGGAUGAACACUCAGUAUAUUCCAAGACCAUUUCAAAUAAUACAGUGAAACCAAAUGGCGAGCAAGGCGUCUGUCAUAAGCUUCAUCACGUGGAUCCAACAUCAGAAAGAUCAAGUCAAAUCUGAAUGGGACAGGAUCCAGCAUUAGUGUGCRUAUCUUCUUGUCAUUUAGCAUAUGCCAUUGUCACUAAGAACCAGAGCACCUGUCUGAAGAACCAGCUGCCGUGUUUCUGGA